RNAcentral lists this ribosomal RNA (253 nucleotides) under uncultured bacterium. Its description in RNAcentral is "partial 16S ribosomal RNA". It matches the Rfam family "Bacterial small subunit ribosomal RNA", at positions 524 to 776 of the family's 1533-position model. The record is from RNAcentral.
UACGGAGGGUGCAAGCGUUAAUCGGAAUUACUGGGCGUAAAGCGUGCGCAGGCGGUUUGUUAAGUCUGCUGUGAAAUCCCCGAGCUCAACUUGGGAAUUGCAGUGGAUACUGGCAGGCUGGAGUAUGGUAGAGGAAGGUGGAAUUCCCGGUGUAGCAGUGAAAUGCGUAGAGAUCGGGAGGAACACCAGUGGCGAAGGCGGCCUUCUGGACCAAUACUGACGCUGAUGCACGAAAGCUGGGGGAGCAAACAGG